GUUCUAGUCGGUGAGCCUGGGAAAACCGACCGAGUUCGUUGUGCGCUCGUAAAACAACAAGUUGGGUUGUGAGCUUGUAAAACAACCGUCUGUAAUCGGUAGGAUUAUAGUGAAAUUUCCAAGAGGUCUUGGGGAGUGGAUGUAGGUGCUGGGGUGCACCGAACCACUAUAUGUCCUUUGUGUUUGUAAUGCCUCUAGUUAUUGUCUAACUAACACACUUACUUACUUAGAUAAAUUGCUUGCUUAAUUCUUAUCCGCACAUCUUUU
This 267-nucleotide long non-coding RNA is filed under the name Phoenix dactylifera (date palm). RNAcentral describes it as "long non-coding RNA (PDAC_LNC020144)". Lineage: Eukaryota; Viridiplantae; Streptophyta; Magnoliopsida; Arecales; Arecaceae. The record is from RNAcentral.